UAGUCUGCAACUCGACUACAUGAAGCUGGAAUCGCUAGUAAUCGUAGAUCAGCAUGCUACGGUGAAUACGUUCCCGGGUCUUGUACACACCGCCCGUCACACCACGAGAGUUUGUAACACCCGAAGCCGGUGGAGUAACCUUUUAGGAGCUAGCCGUCGAAGGUGGGACAAAUGAUUGGGGUGAAGUCGUAACAAGGUAGCCGUAUCGGAAGGUGCGGUUGGAUCACCUCCUUUCUAAGGA
This 241-nucleotide ribosomal RNA is filed under the name Staphylococcus aureus. Its description in RNAcentral is "partial 16S ribosomal RNA". It matches the Rfam family "Bacterial small subunit ribosomal RNA", at positions 1301 to 1533 of the family's 1533-position model. The record is from RNAcentral. Lineage: Bacteria; Bacillati; Bacillota; Bacilli; Caryophanales; Staphylococcaceae.